AACAAAAAUUUGGUUGAUAGUUUGCCUCAUAUUACUACUUUUGAUAGUGGAACAUUAUGCGAAUGGUGUCAAUAUGGUAAGGCGCAUCGUCUUCCAUUUGAUAGAUCCCAAAACAAGAUACGAGGCACCACUAGAACUCAUUCACAGUGAUGUGAUGGGUCCUACACGUACACCUACCUUCUCUGGUUAUCGCUAUAUGGUGGUAUUUG
Molecule: long non-coding RNA, 209 nt
Filed under: Nicotiana benthamiana
Lineage: Eukaryota; Viridiplantae; Streptophyta; Magnoliopsida; Solanales; Solanaceae
Description: long non-coding RNA (NBEN_LNC006102)
Source: RNAcentral